This 504-nucleotide ribosomal RNA is filed under the name uncultured bacterium. Its description in RNAcentral is "bacterial SSU rRNA". It matches the Rfam family "Bacterial small subunit ribosomal RNA", at positions 27 to 518 of the family's 1533-position model. The record is from RNAcentral.
GGAUGAACGCUAGCUACAGGCUUAACACAUGCAAGUCGAGGGGCAGCAUGGUCUUAGCUUGCUAAGACUGAUGGCGACCGGCGCACGGGUGAGUAACGCGUAUCCAACCUUCCCCAUAGUAGAGGAUAGCCCGGCGAAAGUCGGAUUAAUACUCUAUGUUCUCAAUGCAGACAUCUAGGUUGAAGCAAAGAUUCAUCGCUAUGGGAUGGGGAUGCGUCUGAUUAGGGUUGCAGGCGGGGUAACGGCCCACCUGGCCGACGAUCAGUAGGGGUUCUGAGAGGAAGGUCCCCCCACAUUGGUACUGAGACACGGACCAAACCCCUACGGGAGGCAGCAGUGAGGAAUAUUGGUCAAUGGGCGCGAGCCUGAACCAGCCAAGUAGCGUGCCAGGAAGACUGCCCUAUGGGUUGUAAACUGCUUUUAUAGGGGAAUAAAGUGAGGCACGUGUGCCUUUUUGUAUGUACCCUAUGAAUAAGGACCGGCUAAUUCCGUGCCAGCCGCAGC